Molecule: ribosomal RNA, 468 nt
Filed under: uncultured bacterium
Lineage: Bacteria
Description: partial 16S ribosomal RNA
Rfam family: Bacterial small subunit ribosomal RNA
Source: RNAcentral
GACGAACGCUGGCGGCGUGCUUAACACAUGCAAGUCGAACGGAAAGGCCCUGCUUUUGUGGGGUGCUCGAGUGGCGAACGGGUGAGUAACACGUGAGUAACCUGCCCUUGACUUUGGGAUAACUUCAGGAAACUGGGGCUAAUACCGGAUAGGAGCUCCUGCUGCAUGGUGGGGGUUGGAAAGUUUCGGCGGUUGGGGAUGGACUCGCGGCUUAUCAGCUUGUUGGUGGGGUAGUGGCUUACCAAGGGUUUGACGGGUAGCCGGCCUGAGAGGGUGACCGGCCACAUUGGGACUGAGAUACGGCCCAGACUCCUACGGGAGGCAGCAGUGGGGAAUAUUGCACAAUGGGCGGAAGCCUGAUGCAGCAACGCCGCGUGCGGGAUGACGGCCUUCGGGUUGUAAACCGCGUUCGCCUGUGACGAAGCGUGAGUGACGGUAAUGGGUAAAGAAGCACCGGCUAACUACGUG